GCACUGGCUGCUCUCCGUGUGUGUCUGAAGACCCAUUAAAUCUUGAGCUCUCUAUUCCCCUUCGUGGACAACUCUGGAGGCAUGUGCGAGAGACAGUGUAGCUGAAGAGUACAGGCCCAUGCACCAGACGUGUGGCCACAACUGAGCGACUAUGCGACCUGACUGUUAAACCAUGAAGAUACAACUGUAUUGCAUAAAAGCUUGAAAGGUCAAGAAAUGACAAUAUCAUUUCCACGUUGGAACUACAGCCAGAUCAUCGACUGCAACCGCUGGCUGUGUCUGGGCAUAAAAGUUCAGCAAAAUCAAGGAAAGCGUUGUGUGAGAAUCAGUUGCUCCAUGUGAAUUUCACAAGAAAAAGUAUUGUUAGUUACAAAAGCUCACAUAUUGUUAGAUGUCAUUUG
This is a long non-coding RNA of Hyaena hyaena (striped hyena), 401 nucleotides long. RefSeq lists it as uncharacterized. The record is from RefSeq and is a predicted model, not a curated record. The transcript has 3 exons. NCBI's taxonomy places the organism in Eukaryota, Metazoa, Chordata, Mammalia, Carnivora, Hyaenidae.